This 470-nucleotide long non-coding RNA is filed under the name Homo sapiens (human). RNAcentral describes it as "HSALNT0070081". Lineage: Eukaryota; Metazoa; Chordata; Mammalia; Primates; Hominidae. The record is from RNAcentral.
GUGUCUUUGCUCCUCCUUCACCUUCCGCCAUGAUUGUGAGGCUUCCCCAGCCAUGUGGAAACAUAUUCGCAGAGCACCCACUAGGUGCCAGUAAAUGUAUGAGAAGUCCUGUGGAAUAAGACUGAAGUUGUCCUUGCCUUCAAGCAACUUGCAAUUGCCUAAGAACACAGUUUAAAACCACAAAACUAAGCCUUGGAAAUCACAUGCUGUCAUUUCUGCGAUCGGUCAUAACCAGUCCUGAUUCCAUGUUAGAGGAGACUACAUAAGGACACAGGUACCAGAAGAUGAAAAAUUUGGAGUCUAGUGAAAAGAAGUGACUUGCUCAAAAUCACACAGCACAUGAAGAACAGAGCCUCUAUGAUGAAUUUCUUGACAGAACUCUCUUUUGGCCUGCUGCCAUUCACGUUAGAUGUGACUUGCUCCUCCUUGCCUCCUGCCAUGAUUGUGAGGCCUCCCAAGCCAUGUGGAAC